Molecule: ribosomal RNA, 774 nt
Filed under: uncultured Neocallimastigales
Lineage: Eukaryota; Fungi; Neocallimastigomycota; Neocallimastigomycetes; Neocallimastigales
Description: partial large subunit ribosomal RNA
Rfam family: Eukaryotic large subunit ribosomal RNA
Source: RNAcentral
UAUGUGAUCGUCUCUCGCAUAUCAAUAAGCGGAGGAAAAGAAACUAACAAGGAUUCCCCUAGUAACGGCGAGUGAAGCGGGAAGAGCUCAAAUUUGAAAUCUUAAAGGGUUUCCCUUUACGAAUUGUAGUUUAAAGAAGUGUUUUCUGUUGAGGUUUUGGUAAAAGUUCUUUGGAAUAGGACAUCAUAGAGGGUGAGAAUCCCGUAUUUGACCUUUACUUUCAACUUUGUGAUACACUUUCAAAGAGUCGGAUUGUUUGGGAAUGCAGUCCAAAAUGGGUGGUAAAUUUCAUCUAAAGCUAAAUAUUGGCGAGAGACCGAUAGCGAACAAGUACCGUGAGGGAAAGAUGAAAAGAACUUUGAAAAGAGAGUUAAACAGUACGUGAAAUUGUCAAAAGGGAAGCGUUUGACACCAGUGUUGUUUUUCUGAAAAUCAAUUAAAGAACUGUUUAUGCUAAGCUGUUUAGACUUUAUCAGCUAUCUGCUUAGUUUUGAGCUUUUCUUUAAUGCACUUUUCAGUUAACAAGUCAACAUCAAUUUCUUUUGCUGUAAAAAAGCUUGAGGAAGGUGGCUUGAGAUUCGUCUUAAGUGUUUAUAGCCUCUUGCCUAUGCAGUCGGAGAGAUUGAGGUCUGCAGCGUAGAUCCUUCGGGGCUAAAUGCAUUUGUGCUAAGUUAUAGCAUUUUAUAGACAACUUGUUGACUAUGAUUUGUCUUGUAGCUUACUCGCUUAUGUUAUUUUACCUACGCUUAGGAUGUUGAACGCGCACAGAGUCUC